RNAcentral lists this long non-coding RNA (2239 nucleotides) under Homo sapiens (human). RNAcentral's name for it is "HSALNT0246963". Lineage: Eukaryota; Metazoa; Chordata; Mammalia; Primates; Hominidae. The record is from RNAcentral.
AAAUAACCCGAGACCAUGCAGUCUUAGCAGGGAGAUGAAAGCUGCCCAGGAUGGGGAUUACAGCAGUGCCCGAGCGCUCUUCAUUAUCGAGACACUUCUGGAGGUAAUUAGCGUUGGUGUUCAUCAUCUCUACGGAGUCUUUGCAGUGGGGAUGGUUUGAGUGGGAACUGGCAAUGUGGCAGUUAGCAGAAGUGACUCUCCAGGGGAGCUAAAAUCCAUGUAUUUGGGCACACACUUGAACAAUAUUGCUAGAGAAAUUUAAGCAAGAGCACAAAGGCACUACGUUGUCUGGGAUGAUGGAAGGAGCUAAAGUCUUCAGUGAAUGAAGGAGCAGGACCAGGAGCUCAAAAUACUUCUUUGAAGACAAAGAAGAAAUGAUAUUACCAAAUGGUUGGCUCAAAAGAACAGGGAUUUUGCAACAGAGAGAGUAUGUCAUGGUCUUGAACAAGCAAUGUUUUGCCAGGACGAUUAAAUAUCAUUGAUGCUUCUGGUCUACAAUUAGUCAGAGAAGAGAUUAAAAAAAUGAUGAGUAUUCAAGAAGGAAAGUGUUUGCUUUAACAUAUGAAGAAAAGGAGCUUCAGAGUGGUGAUUAACCCCAGAAUUGUGUGGAACGGAUAUGGAAACAAGACCACAGGAGCAUCGAGAACUGAGCAGAACUGAAGGUGACAUGAAAAUCAGCUGCAAGAUUCACCUCAGGGUGAUAAUGGGCUGCAGGUGGCUGCAGGAAUCCCGGGACAUUCUAGGCACUGCCAUAUUUUCUUAGGGGCCAGUAAGGAUGGCUAUCAUCAGAUGUACCUGAUGAUACAAACAUGGGCUGUCUUGCCUUCUAGUAUUCAUUCUUGAUGAUUGCAUCCAGAGCUCACUUUGGAGGUGCAGAUCAACUCUUCUUCAGGCUCAUCCAUGCGACUUGAGUGGGCUCUCAUCCCCAUUCCCAGGGGCUUAUGACAAUCAAGGUUUCCACUCCUCCAUGGUCUCAAUGGUUUUUCUCCCCAUGGGAAGCACAUAAUCCCAUUAGAGGCCACGGGAAGCUUUUUUGUUGGGCUUUGAGGGAAAAAAGGCUUUUGCAGCCAAUGAAUCGAUCAAUGUGUACUUCAACCUGGAUUGUAUGUAUGCAUCUCCUAGAUUGGGCGGAUGAUGAAGUGAGGCUGGAAGUGCUGAGCAUCUUCCUACCUGGGAUGACUGGGCUGAGCAGGAAGCCUACCCCGGGGUUCCAGCCAAGUUGGAGCCUGUGAGUGUGUGGUGUAGUUUAACGCCCUGAUUAAAUCACUAGGAAGCCAUUUCUCUCUCUCCUCCCAGACCAGAUCAGACAAUAUGUUCCCUUAUUUCUACUAAAGCCCCAAUUGGAUUUUGUGUCUUUUGAUACUGAAAGAAUCUUACCACAAAUAAAAUAAUUUGUCAUGUGGCUCCUACAUAUUUAUUCAGUUACAUAAACUAACUAAAUAAAUGAAUAAACUGUCAAUAAUGGUAGUUCCUCAUCUAUGAAUGACUCUUUACAAAGCCUAUCUCGCUUAAUAGUCAUAAUAAAUACUGAAGUAGAUACUAUUUAUACCUUUUUUUUAAAAGGAAUUAAAUAUUUUCAGGGUUAUACAAAGCAUGAGUAUUGUGGGUACAAAUUCAAGCUUUCUAACUCAAAUUUGAAGACUUAUCCCCAGGAUACUUUUACAUCUUUAGCUAGUACCAUGUAUACCUCAAAAGCUUACAUUAUUUUUCACAUGUGUUAGGUUUUGAGGGAUAAUCAAUAAGGAGGGCAUACUUUCAGGCUUCUUAUUUAUAACUGUGAAAUUUAGAAAUUGAUGGAGUAGCAGAUUUCUCGGUAGGAGACAGCUGUUUUAAAAUGCCCCAUGUUUUUAUUAAAGUAAAAAUCUCAAAAAUUGUCUUUUAAAAAGUGGCUCUGGCCAAUCUUAGAUAAAACAUCAUUUACUAGACUUAGGAAUUUCCUGUAGUAAAUUUCAGAUUUACUUUUCGGUCUCACAUCAUCAAAGAGAUCAUAACCCUUUGUGCAAUUAUGGUCUUGAACCAAGGCCUAUUCUCUAGGUCACUGCUGUCAGGACUUCAAGAUAAUUGUUUCCAUUGCAGGAUUUGAUUUUUAAUUCCCCGGAUGUUCUUGACGUGGUUCAGUUCUUCAGGAAAUCAUCACCCUCAUGAGCCCUCCCUGCCACUUGCAGAUAGGGCUUUCUCCCGGUAAGUUCUGGAGUCACGGCAGAGCUCAAUAAGUCUGAUUGGGACCUCCUAUGAUUAU